Molecule: long non-coding RNA, 2307 nt
Organism: Musa acuminata AAA Group (dessert banana)
Lineage: Eukaryota; Viridiplantae; Streptophyta; Magnoliopsida; Zingiberales; Musaceae
Exons: 2
Source: RefSeq, a predicted model, not a curated record
AACAGAAGGAAUGGAACUGAGCUCCGAUCCGAACGAGCAACUGAAUCAUAAGUAUCAAUCUUUAUCGUAUAAAAGCAUCAGCUGGAAUGGAUUGAAGUGCGCUAAUGGAUAGAGUAGCAUUUCCUCAAUUUCUUGUUGAGCACAUGGGGCGUUUGUCAGAUUCAUUACUUAUAUACUCUCUCGAAACAAUCAAUUCAAGGCAAGCAAAUCGACUUGGUCUAACUACGUUGCUUGGACUCCGCAACUACUAUUAAGCAUUAUCCUCUAAGAAGAUCAGAAUUGGAAUGAAAGCGCUAAGAAUGGGAAUGAAAGCCAGGGCCCAACAACAAGACUAAGUAGAGAGAUAGGUUCGGUGCUAGUUGAAUUCCUUGUUUUAUCUCUCGGUGAUUGGUUUGACCUUGCUUGUCGUGGAGAAUAGAAUGUUAUCAAGUAAUCCCUGUAAGCAGUUUCCAGAGGAUAAGCAGUGGAAAGUGGAGUUUCAGUUUCAAAAGAAUCAUUAGCGAGGUAUUCUAGAAGCCGGUAACUAACACACACAGUGCUCUUUAUCGAAAUACAUAAUGGAACUAACGCACACUUCAUUCAAUAGAGUUCGCGUCAGCAAGGGAAGUUGAGGUCGAAAAAAGGGAUGCUAUGUAUUGACUUCAUUCUAUAUCCUAUAUCAGGUGCAAGAUCAUCAAUAAAUGUUUGACUCGGAUCAAGCAAAUCAACUUAUCGGGGUGCUUACGGAGCUCGGGGAUGUAAACCCAUCUUUGAUACUCAAUCAAGCUGUCAAUAAGGCAGGCAAUUGUCUUAGUUUAAGCCAUGUGAUACUAUGCCCCCUAAAACAUCAUUGGCAGUAAAGACCUGGAACUCGUAUUUUCCAGAAAGGAAAGGAGAGCACUUGGAAUGAAGGAUGAAGAUAAGAAGUUAAGUACUUAUAAAGAUGGGACAGGUAAUACUACUUACCAUACAAAACCCCGGGAUUUCAAAUAGCAAAGCAGACUUCCUAUGGCUCUUUUCACUCUUUCUACUAUACCUCUGUCAACUUUCAUCCGGCUCCUAUAUAUAUGGCAAUUUGCACUCUUUCUCCUCUUCUCUUGCUACUAGACUUCUGGCGCAUCUCAACCCGCUGCUGGCAACUGGCAACAAUUCUCUACUUCCUUUCCUACUACUGAUUAGACUUUAACUACUAACUAGCAAUUCCACUCAAAACCGGCAAUUCCACUAGUGCUACCAAUAAUCGAACUGGGGAUAAAGAAAGCAAUAGUACCUAGAAUUAACCUAACAAUAAGAAUAUUAACUGCACCUAUAAUUAACCUAACAAUAAGAAUAUUCACUGCCCUGGGUAUAGCACUGCCGCUCUUAACUCCAAAACGAACUACUUGCAUAGAUGACCAAGCUUGCCUACCCGACCUUCUAUUCUCGAUUACCGCCUAUUGACUCAUACCGAUAUAAGUCUAAUUCCCUGACUCCGUCCUUUAAGCCCAAUUCUAUGGGUUUAGUCAUACGAUCCCCUAUAUAUAUAAGAAUAUGCAGCCCCUUGCUUGAACUCUGAAACCGGCACUCCACUCCCUACUAACAAACAACCGCUCUUGUCUUAAAGCCCAGCUUGCUAGUUUUCAUCUUCUAAUCGUUAGGGAACCCCACUAAGCUAGGAUAGAAUCAAGCUCAACAGUAAUAGAAUGAAGGACAUGAAUUUGAAUAAUGGAUUUGAUUAGUAGAAGAACCAAAUCCCAAGCAUAGGCCUACAGCUCCUUACAUCUAAUUAUGACUUGACCCUUCGAUUCUUCCAUUACAGGCCUUAACUCUGCAGGUUUGGGCUUAACCACCCUCUGACUCUCCUUUAUCCUAGUCUACUCUUACUGACUACCAUUCUUAUUACCCUGACUUUUUUCUAUGAAACUAGUAAGUACAAGACUGGAACCGGGGAGUGCAACAACAGCUAAUCCGAAUUUGACUAAAGGGUAUGCUCCCCACUACGCGAAUGUAACUGGUGGGUAUCAGCCUUUAACUACGGGGGUAUAUAUCGGAGUGGACUACUUCCCUAUAAGCUAAAACAAAGAAAUUAUACCUUCCCCACUACCUGGAACCUAGCUUUCCUACCUAUUAACCUGUCCUUACUCGAUCUGAUUCCCCCGCUCCUAAAUCUCAUUCUGACUACUCGGCUUCUCAGCCUACCGUCCCUAACUCUCAAACUUCACCCCUGUGGAACCAACCCACUCCUAUGUUUGAUAGUCAGUCUUCCUUUCCUUUAGCUAAGUCUACUACUUAUUCCGCUCUUGGCCUUAAGUCUUCCUUGAAAAUGGAAACUCUCUUCUCUCACUCUUG